Molecule: long non-coding RNA, 2481 nt
Filed under: Papio anubis (olive baboon)
Lineage: Eukaryota; Metazoa; Chordata; Mammalia; Primates; Cercopithecidae
Description: lncRNA (ENSPANG00000039482.1)
Source: RNAcentral
CCAGAGGAAAAAAAAGGUGUCAGGAGGUUGGCCAGGGGCAAUGAGCUUAAGGAGAGGAGAAGAACACAGCAGGCACUGGGGAUCCAGACAGAAUUAUCUGGCCCAUGACACUCUCUCAGCUCAGGGUUACCCAGGGAAACCCCAAGAGUCAGGGGUUCCCAAAUCUCCAGCAGGGUGGAGGCACAACGCCAGGUGGAGAAAGACACGGGCACCACAGAGGCUGAGGCUUCCAGGGAGGAGAGAGGGCAACAGCAGAGCCUCGCCUGUGCCCAACUGCCCCCCUCCCUGGCAGGAUGAUCAUUUCACCUCCUCGGCCAGCCCAAAAUGUCAUGAAGAUUUAUUGACGAAAGUAGAGAGGACUAAUGAACUAAGAUACUCCUUCUGUCCAAACUGACUACAUGCAAGUUCAUCUCUCAAAAGUGUAGGGUGAGGCUAUUGGCCUCACUAGAGAUAUAGUAAGUAUGUGGUUGAUAUCUCAGGCUCGAAAUUACAAUCCUGGUUCUACUGUUCACUGACUUUGUGAUCUUGCAUAGGUCAUUUAAACUCUCAGAGCUCUGGUUCUUUAUCUGCAACGACAAAAUAACAAUUGUCACUAAUGUUGUUAUAAAGGUCAACUGAUAUACUGUAUAAUCCCCAGCACACAGCACUCUCUAAACAUAAGCUAGAAUAAAUGGUUUAAGGCCACACACACACAAAAAAAAAAAAAUAUAUAUAUAUAUAUAUAUAUAUGUGGCGAGAGAGCAGAGUGAGGGUGGGAUGAGAGUUAAGUGCAAUGGGUAGAACUUUGAGGCUCUGUUUCCUAAAUAUGAAGAUGGUUAGACUAACCUCAUGUGUGGGUCAAUGUGAGUGAUCAAAGCUCCGCGAAUCUUGGGACCAGGACUUCUGAAAGUCCAGUCCAGUUUCCUAUCUUUGUCUAACUAGCUGCCUAAAUGUAGGCAAAUCACUUAAUUGUUCUAUUUAUCAGUUCCUCUGUCUUUAUAACUGAGAUUCGUUCACUCGCCUAAUAAAUGUUUAGCGAACACUCGACAUGGCCCAAGUACUGAGCUUGUUUUUCUGGUGAUUAACCUCUAAGGCAGUUGAUAACUUGGUGGUUAAGACCACAGGCUCUGGGGUUAGGCAGACCUGGAUUUGAACCCAAACUCUGUCACUUACGAAAUGUGUGACAUUGAGAAAGUUACUUACACUGUCUGGGCUUCCCUCUCCUUAUCUGUAAGAUGGAGAAAAUGAAGGUUUCUAUGUUGUAGUGUAAUUAGGAAGAUCCAAUGAUUUAAUGAAUGUUUAGACCUUCGCAUGGUGCCUGGCAGGAACCAAGCACCUGGGAAACACUAGCAGCUGCUAAAAUAGGCUACUGCCUCCCCACCUCCCCACCGUGUCCUGCAGGAUCUCACAGUGGAGUCAUAAGUGCUGGGACCAAAGGACAAGCAACAUCUCAUGAAAGCAGAGAUAAAAGUGCCUUCCUCAAAUACUCAAGAGCUCUCUGGUGCAAGAGGAGUUAAACAUUGUAUGAAACACUAAGCAUUUAGCCAAGACCAAUACAGUAAAGCCUUUUCCUACAGGCAGAAGAGGCCAUAGCUAGAAAGGGCUACCUCAAUAGGUGGUGAGUUCCCAUCACUGCAGAUGUUCAAACAGAGGCUGCAUAGCACCCUUCUAAAAUGUUGAAGAUAAGAUCCGAGUACUAUCAUAUGGAAAUAUAUGUUCCUAAAUGUCGCUUUUAAUCUCGAAAUGCCAUGGAUAAUUAUUUCUGAGCCUGAGGAUCACAGAAAGCUGCCACCGAGAUAGCGGAACUUGAGUGAAGGCUUGGAGUAUGAUGGGAUUUUAAUACAAAGAAUAGAAAUAUUCUCUGCAAGGAGACACUAUGGCAAUGCCUGGAGGCCUGAGAGAACAAGGUGUGCUGGGACAGGGCAGCUAGUGUAGCUGAACACAGGGGCUCAGAUAAGAGGAGAACAGAGAAAUCAGGGAAGGUGUCAGAAUCCCAAAGAUACAAUUGGGCAGUAUUAUCACAAAUAGUCAUAUCACUGUGUGACACUCUAAAUCCACAGCUCACUAUGGUGAACAUUAGACACCAGUUCGGGACAGUCCCUGGUGCUACCCAGUUUCUUUUGGGCCUCAGCAUCCGUCUAGAGAGUACAAAGGGGCCUAGAUCAUAGCAGCUGCUCCACCCCUCACUCUGGAGAGAGAUCCAAAGAUCAGAGCUAGAGUCUCUACAUAUGGGAGUCAGGCCCCAGGCACAGGACAAGAGCACAGGAAACAGUGAGAAAGGCAUCGAAUCCAGUCAAGAGACCUGGAUUCAAGUUCCAGGCCUGCCACUUUCUAGAUAUUAUCUCAGCCACAUUAUUUAAUCUCUCUGAGACCCAUGGCUCAUUCAGAGAGAAGAUAUUAAUUCUCUCACUUGAUUUUGAGAGGAACUGUGUGAAAAGUGCUUUACCAAAUUACAGGAAUGUUGAUUGUUAUUUCUAAAUAACUUCUCUUCUUGGCUGUGCU